RNAcentral lists this transfer RNA (67 nucleotides) under Cramptonomyia spenceri. RNAcentral describes it as "tRNA-Asn". The record is from RNAcentral. Lineage: Eukaryota; Metazoa; Arthropoda; Insecta; Diptera; Pachyneuridae.
UUAACUGAAACCAAAAAGAGGUAUAUUACUGUUAAUAAUAAAACUGAAUCUUAAAAUUCCAGCUAAA